Molecule: ribosomal RNA, 253 nt
Filed under: uncultured bacterium
Lineage: Bacteria
Description: partial 16S ribosomal RNA
Rfam family: Bacterial small subunit ribosomal RNA
Source: RNAcentral
UACGUAGGGUGCGAGCGUUAAUCGGAAUUACUGGGCGUAAAGCGUGCGCAGGCGGUUGGCCGUGUCCUGUGUGAAAGCCCCGGGCUUAACCUGGGAAUGGCAUGGGAAACUGGUCGGCUGGAGUGUGGCAGAGGGGGGUGGAAUUCCGCGUGUAGCAGUGAAAUGCGUAGAGAUGCGGAGGAACACCGAUGGCGAAGGCAGCCCCCUGGGCUAACACUGACGCUCAGGCACGAAAGCGUGGGGAGCAAACAGG